AAAUUGAAGGCUCGCGCAAGAGGGGGGGGAUCUAACGUGCAAAUCUGCCAUUUAAAAAGAGAAGGCGCGGAUCCGGGUACCCAGCGGGUCGACGCGCGGAUCCUCAAUGCUUGGAACUGCGCCGUUUUUGAAACCCCCCUAAACCCUCAUUCGGACUUCCUUUUUCAUAUUGCUUUAACUCAGCCGACUUUCUUUUCCUUUUUGAAAGCAAAAACCCUUAAAAUCAAUCAGUAUGGUUCCAUUAGCACGCCUCUGCCGAACCACCAUCAUUUGGUGACCAGCCGCAUGCAAACACCGCCCCGAUUACGCCAUUGAAGGAGCUUAACCACACCUUGAAGGAUUUAUUCUUCUGGUGUAUUCCUAUGCAGACCUGGCCGUACAGAGGAAACGUGCGAAGAAGGCCGUGCAAGGAUUCACUCGUGGGAGCCUCAACUUUCUGACCGAUUCCAGAAGCUUGUGGUGCCCUCAUCUGCUGUACUCUCUUUUUUGGUGUUUUGGGCCUCGGGUUUGGGUUUAGGAUUAUUGGGUCAUGGGUUUUUUUGGUAAUAAAAAUUGUAAAUGGACUCUUUUGGACUAUUUAGUCUUGGACUUUAUUUAUUUAUUUGAGUUUAUUUAUUUGCAAAUAAAUUAAA
Long non-coding RNA from Gossypium arboreum, 632 nucleotides. RefSeq lists it as uncharacterized. NCBI's taxonomy places the organism in Eukaryota, Viridiplantae, Streptophyta, Magnoliopsida, Malvales, Malvaceae. The record is from RefSeq and is a predicted model, not a curated record. The transcript has 2 exons.